AAUCUUCCGCAAUGGACGAAAGUCUGACGGAGCAACGCCGCGUGAGUGAUGAAGGUUCUCGGAUCGUAAAGCUCUGUUGCCAGGGAAGAACACUAAGGAGAGGAACUGCUCUUUAGUUGACGGUACCUGAGAAGAAAGCCCCGGCUAACUACGUGCCAGCAGCCGCGGUAAUACGUAGGGGGCAAGCGUUGUCCGGAAUUAUUGGGCGUAAAGCGUGCGCAGGCGGUCAUUUAAGUCUGGUGUUUAAUCCUGGGGCUCAACCCUAGGUCGCACUGGAAACUGGGUGACUUGAGUACAGAAGAGGAAAGUGGAAUUCCACGUGUAGCGGUGAAAUGCGUAGAGAUGUGGAGGAACACCAGUGGCGAAGGCGACCUUCUGGCCUUUGUCUGACGCUGAGGCACGAAAGCGUGGGUAGCAAACA
Molecule: ribosomal RNA, 421 nt
Filed under: uncultured bacterium
Lineage: Bacteria
Description: partial 16S ribosomal RNA
Rfam family: Bacterial small subunit ribosomal RNA
Source: RNAcentral